This 344-nucleotide ribosomal RNA is filed under the name Alexandrium margalefii. Its description in RNAcentral is "partial Bacterial large subunit ribosomal RNA". It matches the Rfam family "Bacterial large subunit ribosomal RNA", at positions 2367 to 2710 of the family's 2925-position model. Lineage: Eukaryota; Dinophyceae; Gonyaulacales; Pyrocystaceae. The record is from RNAcentral.
GCCUGACUGCGAGACUGACAAGUCGAGCAGAGACGAAAGUCGGUCAUAGUGAUCCGGUGGUCCCGAGUGGAAGGGCCAUCGCUCAACGGAUAAAAGGUACGCCGGGGAUAACAGGCUGAUACUGCCCAAGAGUCCAUAUCGACGGCAGUGUUUGGCACCUCGAUGUCGGCUCAUCUCAUCCUGGGGCUGGAGCAGGUCCCAAGGGUACGGCUGUUCGCCGUUUAAAGAGGUACGUGAGCUGGGUUUAGAACGUCGUGAGACAGUUCGGUCCCUAUCUGCCGUGGGCGUUGGAAAUUUGAGAAGAGCUGCUCCUAGUACGAGAGGACCGGAGUGAACGAACCCCU